UAAAGCUGAAAUAAAAUUACAAUAUUUUUUUAUAUAUAUAAAACCUUGAACUAAAAAACACUUGAUGAAAAUUAGAAAUGGCAACUAAAUGAGAUAAGUUUGGGUUGAAGUUCAAAACGAAUAAACUGAAAUAAACAACAACAAAAAGGGCAUAAAAAUCACUAAAAUAAUUAACUAAAAUUAAAUGAAAACUGAAAACAAAAAACAGGCCUGGAGGCUAAUCAAAAAUAUAUACACAAAACACAGUCUUUACAUGCGACGUGACAAAUCAAUCAUUUAUGUUUUGUCAUAGUUUAUCUUUGGCUGCAUUUAAUUGAUUUUUUUAAUAUUUUUGAUUUAAAAAAAAAAAAUUACAUUGGUGGAUGUGUUUGGGGGGGGGAUUUGGCUAUUGAAUAUGUAACAUUUUAAUUCUGCUCAACUGAAAGAAAUGACUUGAAUAAAGAUUAGUUCAUUUAGCUGAAUGAGAGCAGAUGAGUGAAUCAAUAAAAUCAUCCAAUCUUCCCAUCGCUAUAUUUUCUAGCUGUGACCACUGAUCUAUAAUAUAGAAUAUAUAUAUAUAUAUAGAUCAGUGGCUGUGACUGACCAAGCAGGGAACUUUUUCUUCAACGGUGCGUAUAAAGUGGACACCCCUCAGAACUUCCACGCAGCAGGGACAAAUACCAUUUUCAAAUACCGGCGGCCUACUGAUGUGCAUGAGACGGGGAUCGAGUACAUUGUGGCAAAAGGGCCCAUCGAUCAGCCCAUCAAUGUUCUGGUACUGUAGCCGUGGUCCUCUCUUCGCCGCCAAAGGCUUAUGGGUAAUCUCACUGGCUGGCUAACCAUGGCUUUGACUUAGUGCAGGCCAAAGGUCUAAUGGUUCACUCUGCGUAAAUGGGGAACUGCAGCUGGAGUGGAGUAGGAGCCCCUGGUGUAGGACCCGCGAGCAGACCUGCGGAGGACAUAGGAAACUCUGAAAACCUCAUCUGGAGAAUGCUGCUGGGAGAGCGGAUUGGCUCCAAUGGUGUUCUUCCCAACAUCUCAACCAAUCAGCUUCUUACUCGAAGAGAUGGCUUUUUCUCUGAAGGCCCAUGGUGUUAGACUACAGCAGUCUUGAGCAAGCGGGUCUUAAUGGCUCACUGCUUGAGGUCACCAUCGGGCAUCGGCGAAAUGACACAGGGGACGUCCUGCUCCUAAACAGAACUGCUACUUCCUUUUCACGCAAUUGCAGCAAUCGCACCAGGUAAACAUGAUCAUGUACAUUACCAUAUUUGUUUUGUCUCUUAUGCUUACAAAAACACAGUACAUUUUCUGAAAUACCAUUACAAUACAAAAUAACCAUUUUCUAUUUUCAUAUUUUAUAAAAUUAAAUGUAUUCCUGUGAUGGCAAAGCAGAAUUUUCAAAAGUCAUUAUUCCAGUCUUCACUGUCACACGAUCCUUCAGAAAUCUUUGGUGCUCAAGAAACAGUUAUUUUUAUAAUCAAUGUUGACAACAAUGUUUAUAGUGCUGCCUAAUAUUUUUUUUAGAAACUGUGAUAUUUAUUUCAGUGUCCUUUGAUUAAAAAAUAAAUAAAUAAUUGCACAUCAAUUUAAUGCAUACUUGCUGAAUAAAAGUAUUCAUUUUCGACCCCAAACUUUUGAACUUGAAUUUUUAUAAUAAUCAUUUUAUUUGUAAUAUUUUAAUAAUUCCAUAUAUAUAUAUAUAUAUAUAUAUAUAUAUAUAUAUAUAUAUAUAUAUAUAUAAAAAGAAAACACCCAAUAGGCUUUACUCAUAUUACAGACAUGAAGCAUGAUUUGCUACUUUCUGAUCAGUGGUGUUAUGAGAGACGCUUUCUCAUUCUAGAGGGCAUUUGAUUGGAUACGAUUCUGUGCAUGAUCUUGAGGUUAGAAUUGGAGUUUUGAUGACUCAUCCUGCAAAGUCUUCCAUGCACUGAACCAGUGGAUAU
Molecule: long non-coding RNA, 1922 nt
Organism: Carassius auratus (goldfish)
Lineage: Eukaryota; Metazoa; Chordata; Actinopteri; Cypriniformes; Cyprinidae
Source: Ensembl